RNAcentral lists this ribosomal RNA (766 nucleotides) under Bacillus licheniformis. RNAcentral's name for it is "bacterial SSU rRNA". It matches the Rfam family "Bacterial small subunit ribosomal RNA", at positions 39 to 790 of the family's 1533-position model. The record is from RNAcentral. Lineage: Bacteria; Bacillati; Bacillota; Bacilli; Caryophanales; Bacillaceae.
GCGGGUGCCUAUACAUGCAGUCGAGCGGACAGAUGGGAGCUUGCUCCCUGAUGUUAGCGGCGGACGGGUGAGUAACACGUGGGUAACCUGCCUGUAAGACUGGGAUAACUCCGGGAAACCGGGGCUAAUACCGGAUGGUUGUUUGAACCGCAUGGUUCAAACAUAAAAGGUGGCUUCGGCUACCACUUACAGAUGGACCCGCGGCGCAUUAGCUAGUUGGUGAGGUAACGGCUCACCAAGGCAACGAUGCGUAGCCGACCUGAGAGGGUGAUCGGCCACACUGGGACUGAGACACGGCCCAGACUCCUACGGGAGGCAGCAGUAGGGAAUCUUCCGCAAUGGACGAAAGUCUGACGGAGCAACGCCGCGUGAGUGAUGAAGGUUUUCGGAUCGUAAAGCUCUGUUGUUAGGGAAGAACAAGUACCGUUCGAAUAGGGCGGUACCUUGACGGUACCUAACCAGAAAGCCACGGCUAACUACGUGCCAGCAGCCGCGGUAAUACGUAGGUGGCAAGCGUUGUCCGGAAUUAUUGGGCGUAAAGGGCUCGCAGGCGGUUUCUUAAGUCUGAUGUGAAAGCCCCCGGCUCAACCGGGGAGGGUCAUUGGAAACUGGGGAACUUGAGUGCAGAAGAGGAGAGUGGAAUUCCACGUGUAGCGGUGAAAUGCGUAGAGAUGUGGAGGAACACCAGUGGCGAAGGCGACUCUCUGGUCUGUAACUGACGCUGAGGAGCGAAAGCGUGGGGAGCGAACAGGAUUAGAUACCCUGG